CUGUUUCCAGUUGGACUUCACUUUGAGGCUUAACAUAUCAAAGUGAGUAUAAAGUUCUACAAUUUAGUCAUUGUGGAUUUUAUGUCAUUUAUGAUGAAAAUGGAAAUGUGUAGUUAAGAAAAUUUUCUUCUUCUGUAACAUCUAACUCUUCAUCCUCAUCAUCUUCUGCUUGUUGAUCCUUUCUUAGUCGACAAGUGGAUACCUGUCUUGUUCCAGAUACACACUUAGCUGACAGUGAUCUCUGAAGAGGUGACUUUGAAUUCGCUCUUACAGUAUCUAAACAAGAUGAAUAAUCUGGUGCAUACAGAGAAUUUCGGAAAACCUCUAAAUCUUCAUCUUCAUCAAUGUUUUGUAUAUUCCGGUAGGCAGCAGUGUAGACCUCUAAAGCUUUGCCGUGAAAUAACAUUUCGAUUGUGAUAAAUUCAGAAAAUAUAGUCUUUAUAUCCUUCAUUUUCUGCCUUUCAAAGUUGUUAAUAGUUUCCUCCAGAUGACGACUUGUUCGGCUAGCAUCCAUUGCAGUUCUCUGUAAUUCCGUUUCUGCCUGUGAAAUAACAUGUCGAUCAGAUGGGUUUCGCUGACGUGUUCUUUCUAACUGAGUUAAUUGCUUAGCUUCUCGAUUCCUUGCUGUGAAUGUUGCUUUGAGGUCAUCCCGUUUCAUUUUCACAAUGGUCCCAUAAGCUUUCAAGGGGGUUCAACUACUUUGGCUUCAAGUCUUUCAACCUCUGCUUGUCGAUAAUCCUGAAGUUUGGCAAACUCAUCAUCAAAGUUCAUCAGGCCCAGCUUUAAAUGUGGGGUCUCUGUAGCAGCAUACGCAUUGAUUUCAUUCACCAGGUGGUCUGCUUUGUCUCUCAGCCUGGCAGUUUUCCGCACAUAGGCAGCGAAGAUUUGGCACAGUUCUCCAAAAUGCUUCUCCACAUUUGAGACAGCUGUUUGCAGUUGUUUCGUUUGAGCGUUCCGAUUUUCCAGGGUGCACCUCAUCAUGCUGCCUCGCGCACGGCAGGGGACCUUGCGGGG
RNAcentral lists this long non-coding RNA (1014 nucleotides) under Homo sapiens (human). RNAcentral's name for it is "HSALNT0219167". The record is from RNAcentral. Lineage: Eukaryota; Metazoa; Chordata; Mammalia; Primates; Hominidae.